Molecule: long non-coding RNA, 242 nt
Organism: Centruroides sculpturatus (bark scorpion)
Lineage: Eukaryota; Metazoa; Arthropoda; Arachnida; Scorpiones; Buthidae
Exons: 3
Source: RefSeq, a predicted model, not a curated record
CGAAAAACGUUGCGUUUCAUUUUGGAACGGUAAUCGUAAGCCUGAAGAUGGCCUAUAAUAAGUAGGUUGAAAACGAUUUGAGAAAUUAAAAGAAUUUAUUCUCGGCAAAAAAUUCAGUUUGGGUACGCAUCAAAAUAGACUGUUAGCGCAUAUCCUAUAGAAAUGUAUCAGACCAAUGCGCAAGAUUUUUAAAACGGUAUGCAAAGUAACACAAGACAGUAGAUUAAAGAGAAAAUGAAUAG